UUAAGCUAUAAAGAGCACAGGGUGGAUGCCUAGGCACUGAGAGCCGAUGAAGGACGUGAUAAGCUGCGAAAAGCCACGGGGAGGAGCAAAUAUCCUUUGAGCCGUGGAUAUCCGAAUGGGGGAACCCACUUAAGUAAACCUUAAGUACUGACAAGCCAAUACAUAACUUGCCAGAGGGAACCCGGGGAACUGAAACAUCUAAGUACCCGGAGGAAGAGAAAGAAACAUCGAUUUCCUUAGUAGCGGCGAGCGAAAGGGAAAGAGCCCAAACCGAGAGAUUUAUCUUUCGGGGUUAGGACUGCAUAAUUGAUCUGCGAUUGAUAGGAGAAUGGUCUGGGAAGUCCAGCAGGAAAGCGUGAAAGCCGCGUAUCCGAAAUUGAAAGCAGCAAGGCAGUAUCCAGAGUACCACGAGACACGAGGAACCUUGUGGGAAUGAGCGGAGACCACUCCGUAAGGCUAAAUACUACUCAGUGACCGAUAGCGCAUAGUACUGUGAAGGAAAGGUGAAAAGGACCCCGGGAGGGGAGUGAAAGAGAACCUGAAACCCUGUGUUUACAAGCUGUCGGAGCACGUUAGUGCGACGGCGUACUUUUUGUAGAACGGUCCGGCGAGUUAUGAUACGCGGUAAGGUUAAGGACUUAAGGUCCGGAGCCGAAGCGAAAGCGAGUGUUAAGAGCACGAGGAAUCACGUAUCAUAGACCCGAAACCGGGUGAUCUAUCCAUGUCCAGGAUGAAGCUGCCGUAAGAGGUAGUGGAGGUCCGAACACACAUCCGUUGAAAAGGGUGGUGAUGAGGUGUGGAUAGGGGAGAAAUUCCAAUCGAACCCGGAGAUAGCUGGUUCUCCUCGAAAUAGCUUUAGGGCUAGCCUUCAGUUAGUCUGCCGCAGGUAGAGCACUGAAUUUCCUAGGGGGCGUCAAAGCCUACCGAAGAAUAUCAAACUGCGAAUGGCGGACAGAUGAUGCUGGGGAGUCAGACUGCACGAGAUAAGUUGGGUGGUCAAAAGGGAAAGAGCCCAGACCUACAGCUAAGGUCCCAAAGUGCGUGUUAAGUGGAAAAGGAUGUGGGAUUUCGAAGACAACUAGGAUGUUGGCUCAGAAGCAGCCACACAUUAAAAGAGUGCGUAAUAGCUCACUAGUCGAGAGGUCCUGCGCCGAAAAUGUCCGGGGCUGAAACACGACACCGAAGCUUAGGAACAGAAAUGUUGGUAGAGGAGCAUUGUUAGCGGAACGAAGCCAUACCGGAAGGAGUGGUGGACUGCUAAGAAGAGAGAAUGCCGGAAUGAGUAGCGAGAUUGAAGUGAGAAUCUUCAAGGCCGAAUAUCUAAGGUUUCCAGGGUAAAGCUGAUCUGCCCUGGGUAAGUCGGGGCCUAAGGCGAGGUCGAAAGACGUAGCCGAUGGACAACAGGUUGAAAUUCCUGUACUGCGAUAUAUCAGAAAUGUGGGGACACAGAAGGAAAGUGUGAGCCGGGAAAGGAAAGACCGGUGCAAGCACAGGAGGAGAGAUACAGGCAAAUCCGUAUUUCAAUCCAAUGGUGUUACGCGGAGCGAACAAAAGUAGCGAAGCACACAGACCAUCUGUCGAGAAAAGCCGCUAUUGUGUAUACCGUACCCGUACCGUAAACCGACACAGGUGGAUGAGGAGAGAAUCCUAAGGCCGGCGGGAGAAGCAUUGUUAAGGAACUCGGCAAAAUGACCCCGUAACUUCGGGAGAAGGGGUGCUCACGCAAGUGAGCCGCAGAGAACUGGCCCAAGCAACUGUUUAGCAAAAACACAGGUCUAUGCAAAACCGAAAGGUGAGGUAUAUGGGCUGACGCCUGCCCGGUGCUGGAAGGUUAAGAGGAGAUGUUAGAGCAAUCGAAGCAUUGAAUUUAAGCCCCAGUAAACGGCGGCCGUAACUAUAACGGUCCUAAGGUAGCGAAAUUCCUUGUCGGGUAAGUUC
RNAcentral lists this ribosomal RNA (1938 nucleotides) under human gut metagenome. RNAcentral's name for it is "bacterial LSU rRNA". It matches the Rfam family "Bacterial large subunit ribosomal RNA", at positions 3 to 1983 of the family's 2925-position model. The record is from RNAcentral.